UACGGGGGGAGCAAGCGUUGUUCGGAUUUACUGGGCGUAAAGGGCGCGUAGGCGGCCACUGCAAGUCAGUUGUGAAAUCUCCGGGCUUAACCCGGAAAGGUCAACUGAUACUGCAGGGCUAGAGUGCAGAAGGGGCAACUGGAAUUCUCGGUGUAGCGGUGAAAUGCGUAGAUAUCGAGAGGAACACCUGCGGCGAAGGCGGGUUGCUGGGCUGACACUGACGCUGAUGCGCGAAAGCCAGGGGAGCGAACGGG
RNAcentral lists this ribosomal RNA (254 nucleotides) under uncultured bacterium. RNAcentral describes it as "partial 16S ribosomal RNA". It matches the Rfam family "Bacterial small subunit ribosomal RNA", at positions 524 to 776 of the family's 1533-position model. The record is from RNAcentral.